Pelobates cultripes (western spadefoot toad) is the source of this 318-nucleotide non-coding RNA. The record is from the annotation of a GenBank genome assembly. Lineage: Eukaryota; Metazoa; Chordata; Amphibia; Anura; Pelobatidae.
CAGUGGCGGCUCUAGACUUGGCGAGGCCUUAGGCGAAACUCAUACAUGAGGCCCCCACUAGCACCAUUAUUGGAAAAAAACAGCAGUUGACUUGUGUGUGUAUAAGUAGUAGAGAUAUUGUGGGGCGGGCUUGCAGUACUGGAUAUAUAGAACUAGUCUUUAUAUACGUCGUUGCAUUGUCUACCUCUGUGUGCCUGAGAGUGUGUGUCUGGCAGUGAGUAUCUUUGUAUAUGUAUGCAUGUUUCUCUGAGCAUGUGUAUGUUUGUGUUACUGCCUGUGGCCUUUGGCUCAUGGCGAAGCUAUGUUUUAGGACAGUGU